CGUAGGUGCGAGCGUUAAUCGGAAUUACUGGGCGUAAAGCGUGCGCAGGCGGUUUUGUAAGACAGAUGUGAAAUCCCCGGGCUCAACCUGGGACCUGCAUUUGUGACUGCAAGGCUAGAGUACGGUAGAGGGGGAUGGAAUUCCGCGUGUAGCAGUGAAAUGCAUAGAUAUGCGGAGGAACACCGAUGGCGAAGGCAAUCCCCUGGACCUGUACUGACGCUCAUGCACGAAAGCGUGGGGAGCAAACAGGAUUAGAUACCCUGGUAGUCCACGCCCUAAACGAUGUCAACUGGUUGUUGGGUCUUUACUGACUCAGUAACGAAGCUAACGCGUGAAGUUGACCGCCUGGGGAGUACGGCCGCAAGGUUG
RNAcentral lists this ribosomal RNA (369 nucleotides) under uncultured organism. RNAcentral's name for it is "bacterial SSU rRNA". It matches the Rfam family "Bacterial small subunit ribosomal RNA", at positions 526 to 896 of the family's 1533-position model. The record is from RNAcentral.